Molecule: small nuclear RNA, 107 nt
Filed under: Ochotona princeps (American pika)
Lineage: Eukaryota; Metazoa; Chordata; Mammalia; Lagomorpha; Ochotonidae
Source: RNAcentral
AUGCUCGCUUCGGCAGCACAUAUACUAAAAUUGGAACGAUACAGAGACAAUUAGCAUGGCCUCAGUGCAAGGAUGACAUGCAAAUUCAUGAAGCGUUCCAUAUUUUU